Molecule: long non-coding RNA, 977 nt
Filed under: Marmota monax (woodchuck)
Lineage: Eukaryota; Metazoa; Chordata; Mammalia; Rodentia; Sciuridae
Source: RNAcentral
GGCGAUGGCCGUGCUGGGGACCCAGCAGAGGGAGGCCUAAGAACCUGAGUGGGGGAGAGGGCCUAGGGCCAGGCAGGGAGCAGAGAGUCUUGGGCUGAAGGCUGGCUGGGAAGGGCGAGAGGAGCCCCCAGGUCUGUGCAGAGAGACCUCGGUGCUGCACCUCAGCAUCUUGGAGGCCACGGUGGGCACAGACACUGAGCAGUCAGGGCAGCUGCUCUUUAGACCUGGACUUGACCACCCACUGGAGGGAGGGCAGGCAGCUCUGGAGCAAGGCCACCUAGCCUGACCAUGACCUCAGGGCACUCUGAGAUGUCCCACAGCCUGGCAGUGCCAUGGCCUCUGGACACUAGCUUCCUCUGAAGGUGGGUGAGGCACUGUCUCUCCAACAAGAAAGCCUCCAAAGAUCAUGACAACUGAGGGCCGCUGUCCAGUAGCCCCAGCAGCAAUAGGACACUGUCAUUUCUGGGGGGAGCCAGAGGGGCACCAGGACAUCCACCAUACCACUUAGUAGCAACCGGAUGUCUUCUCAAUAAACGGGGAAAGGGAAGCCUCACCCUCACCUCUCCAGCAUGGCUGAGAGGGGUCCCAGCCCAAAGGGAAGGCCAAAGCCAUGACAUUUCCAGGAGAAAAGAGAAGAUUUCAACCAGAGAAGACAAAGAUUUCUUAGUUAGGAAACUCUGGUCACCAGCCAUAAAACAAAAUUUAACAAUCAACAAAACAGACUAUUAAAUCCCAAACUUCUGGCCAGGAACUGUGGCACAUCCAUAAGCCCAGAGAUUUGGGAGGCUAUAAAACGGUGGUCUCUGGGGCCAGGAAAAGCAGGGAACGGGGCUGUCCCACGGGCACUGUCCCACGGGUGUGCGUGCAGAUCCAGGUGUGCCAGAUGGAAAGGAUCUGGAAAUCCUUUUGCAACGACUAGAAUACACUCAACGCUAGUGAACCACAUGCCUAAAAAUAGUUAAGGUGGUCAAUUUUCC